GAUCAUGGCUCAGGAUGAACGCUGGCGGUGUGCUUAACACAUGCAAGUCGAGCGAAGCACUUUGGAAAGAUUCUUCGGAUGAUUUCCUUUGUGACUGAGCGGCGGACGGGUGAGGUAACGCGUGGGUAACCUGCCUCAUACAGGGGGAUAACAGUUAGAAAUGACUGCUAAUACCGCAUAAGACCACGGUACCGCAUGGUACAGUGGUAAAAACUCCGGUGGUAUGAGAUGGACCCGCGU
Molecule: ribosomal RNA, 240 nt
Filed under: uncultured bacterium
Lineage: Bacteria
Description: partial 16S ribosomal RNA
Rfam family: Bacterial small subunit ribosomal RNA
Source: RNAcentral